GCCGGUGCAUUUUCCAAUCCAGAGAUAGUGCGACAAAUCUUUAAUGAGCAUGUAAUCAUCUCCCAGACAUUUUCUGUUCGCACGAAGAAGCAGAUACAAGAAGCUUGCUUCAUGUUAUACACUCUGAUAAAAUCUUUCAGCAGUUGAAUAGAAGGGGACGAAUCAUAGUAAAGUGUUCCGAUACAGAUGUUUUUGUGCUCUGUGUUCAUUAUUUCGUGGUUCCUGUGUCGACUGAACAAAUGUGGUUUUUGACGGGGUCAACUAAUUCUCUUAGAGACUGUAGAAGGUACAUACCAAUCCAUGAGUUAAGUACAUCUCUUUCACCUUUACUAGCUAACAUUAUCCCUGCAGUUCAUGCUUUAACUGGUUGUGAUACCACUUCCGCUAUAUUUGG
Molecule: long non-coding RNA, 394 nt
Filed under: Mytilus galloprovincialis (Mediterranean mussel)
Lineage: Eukaryota; Metazoa; Mollusca; Bivalvia; Mytilida; Mytilidae
Source: RNAcentral